UACAGAGGUCUCAAGCGUUGUUCGGGUUCAUUGGGCGUAAAGGGUGUGUAGGUGGCGCCGUAAGUCGGGUGUGAAAUUUCGGAGCUUAACUCCGAAACUGCAUUCGAUACUGCGGUGCUUGAGGACUGGAGAGGAGACUGGAAUUCAUGGUGUAGCAGUGAAAUGCGUAGAGAUGUGGAGGAACACCAGUGGCGAAGGCGACUUUCUGGGCUGUAACUGACGCUGAGGCGCGAAAGCGUGGGGAGCAAACAGG
This 253-nucleotide ribosomal RNA is filed under the name uncultured bacterium. RNAcentral's name for it is "partial 16S ribosomal RNA". It matches the Rfam family "Bacterial small subunit ribosomal RNA", at positions 524 to 776 of the family's 1533-position model. The record is from RNAcentral.